CAGUAGCCGCGGUAAUACGGAGGGAGCUAGCGUUGUUCGGAAUUACUGGGCGUAAAGCGCACGUAGGCGGUUAUUCAAGUCAGAGGUGAAAGCCCGGGGCUCAACCCCGGAACUGCCUUUGAAACUAGAUGACUAGAAUCUUGGAGAGGUCAGUGGAAUUCCGAGUGUAGAGGUGAAAUUCGUAGAUAUUCGGAAGAACACCAGUGGCGAAGGCGACUGACUGGACAAGUAUUGACGCUGAGGUGCGAAAGCGUGGGGAGCAAACAGGAUUAGAUACCCGCGUAGUCCCUGUCUCUUAUAC
Molecule: ribosomal RNA, 301 nt
Filed under: uncultured bacterium
Lineage: Bacteria
Description: partial 16S ribosomal RNA
Rfam family: Bacterial small subunit ribosomal RNA
Source: RNAcentral